AAGGGAGCUCGAUAAGAGCCUUCGCUGUAGGAUGAGCCUGCGUCUGAUUAGCUAGUUGGUGGGGUAAAGGCCCACCAAGGCGAUGAUCAGUAGCUGGUCUGAGAGGAUGAUCAGCCACACUGGAACUGAAACACGGUCCAGACUCCUACGGGAGGCAGCAGUGGGGAAUCUUGCGCAAUGGACGAAAGUCUGACGCAGCCACGCCGCGUGAGUGAAGAAGGCCUUCGGGUUGUAAAGCUCUGUCGCUUGGGACGAAAAACAUAUUAGUGAAUAGCUAGUGUGUCUGACGGUACCAAGAGAGGAAGCACCGGCUAACUUCGUGCCAGCAGCCGCGGUAAUACGAGGGGUGCAAGCGUUGCUCGGAAUUAUUGGGCGUAAAGGGUAGGUAGGUGGUCUUAUUUGUCUGAGGUGAAAUCCCGGGGCUUAACUCCGGAAGUGCCUUAGAAANNNNAANNCUGGAGUGNUAGAGAGGUUUGUGGAAUUCCCGGUGUAGCGGUGAAAUGCGUAGAGAUCGGGAGGAACACCAGAAGCGAAGGCGACAAACUGGCUAGAUACUGACACUGAACUACGAAAGCGUGGGUAGCAAACAGGAUUAGAUACCCUGGUAGUCCACGCUGUAAACGAUGGGUACUAGGCUUUGUGGGAAUUGACCCCUGCGGAGCCGGAGCUAACGCAAUAAGUACCCCGCCUGGGAAGUACGGUCGCAAGACUAAAACUCAAAGGAAUUGACGGGGGCCCGCACAAGCGGUGGAUCAUGUGGUUUAAUUCGAAGCAACGCGCAGAACUUUACCUAGGUUUGACAUCCUCUGAUCGCUGUAGAAAUACAGUUUUUGUAGCAAUACAACAGAGAGACAGGUGCUGCAUGGCUGUCGUCAGCUCGUGUGGUGACAUGUUGGGUUAAGUCCCGCAACGAGCGCAACCCUUGCCUUUAGUUGCCAGCAUUCAGUUGGGCACUCUAGAGGGACUGCCGUGGUUAACACGGAGGAAGGUGGGGAUGACGUCAAGUCCUCAUGGCCUUUAUAUCUAGGGCGACACACGUGAUACAAUGGAUGGUACAGAGGGAAGCGAACCCGCGAGGGGGAGCGAAUCUCAAAAAGCCAUUCUCAGUUCGGAUUGGAGUCUGCAAUUCGACUCCAUGAAGUUGGAAUCGCUAGUAAUCGCGGAUCAGAACGCCGCGGUGAAUACGUUCCCGGGCCU
Molecule: ribosomal RNA, 1197 nt
Filed under: uncultured bacterium
Lineage: Bacteria
Description: bacterial SSU rRNA
Rfam family: Bacterial small subunit ribosomal RNA
Source: RNAcentral